UACGUAGGGUGCAAGCGUUAAUCGGAAUUACUGGGCGUAAAGCGUGCGCAGGCGGUUCGCUAAGACAGAUGUGAAAAUCCCCGGGCUUAACCUGGGAACUGCAUUUGUGACUGGCGGGCUAGAGUAUGGCAGAGGGGGGUAGAAUUCCACGUGUAGCAGUGAAAUGCGUAGAGAUGUGGAGGAAUACCGAUGGCGAAGGCAGCCCCCUGGGCCAAUACUGACGCUCAUGCACGAAAGCGUGGGGAGCAAACAGG
Molecule: ribosomal RNA, 254 nt
Filed under: uncultured bacterium
Lineage: Bacteria
Description: partial 16S ribosomal RNA
Rfam family: Bacterial small subunit ribosomal RNA
Source: RNAcentral